GCAAGGGUCGGAAAGGAACUUAUGAUCUGAUCCUUAAACUAGAGGAGGUGGUAUAUUAGGAAUCCUCAGACGCAGCGCUGAAGGGUUCCUAAAUUUUUACACAUACACCCUCGGGUUGAAGAAAAAGAUCACAGCCGAACCCUCGGGCGAGGCGGAUAAGGGUCGGCGGAACAGACAGGGUCGGGCGAGACGGAACCGGGGUCGGGCGGAUAGGAGGGGUCGGGCGAA
Molecule: long non-coding RNA, 228 nt
Filed under: Setaria italica (foxtail millet)
Lineage: Eukaryota; Viridiplantae; Streptophyta; Magnoliopsida; Poales; Poaceae
Description: long non-coding RNA (SITA_LNC002328)
Source: RNAcentral